CAGCAGCCGCGGUAAUACAGAGGAUGCAAGCGUUAUUCGGAAUGAUUGGGCGUAAAGCGUCUGUAGGUGGCUUUUCAAGUCCACCGUCAAAUCCCCGGGCUCAACCCUGGACAAGCAGUGGAAACUACCAAGCUGGAGUACGGUAGGGGUAGAGGGAAUUUCCGGUGGAGCGGUGAAAUGCGUUGAGAUCGGAAAGAACACCAACGACGAAAGCACUCUGCUGGGCCGACACUGAUACUGAGAGACGAAAGCUAGGGGAGCAAAUGGGAUUAGAUACCCCCGUAGUCCCUGUCUCUUAUAC
Molecule: ribosomal RNA, 301 nt
Filed under: uncultured bacterium
Lineage: Bacteria
Description: partial 16S ribosomal RNA
Rfam family: Bacterial small subunit ribosomal RNA
Source: RNAcentral